Molecule: ribosomal RNA, 482 nt
Filed under: uncultured bacterium
Lineage: Bacteria
Description: bacterial SSU rRNA
Rfam family: Bacterial small subunit ribosomal RNA
Source: RNAcentral
AUUGAACGCUGGCGGCAUGCCUUACACAUGCAAGUCGAACGGCAGCACGGGAGCAAUCCUGGUGGCGAGUGGCGAACGGGUGAGUAAUAUAUCGGAACGUGCCCAGUCUGGGGGAUAACGUAGCGAAAGCUACGCUAAUACCGCAUACGAUCUAUGGAUGAAANCGGGGGAUCGCAAGACCUCGCGCGAUUGGAGCGGCCGAUAUCAGAUUAGGUAGUUGGUGAGGUAAAGGCUCACCAAGCCAACGAUCUGUAGCUGGUCUGAGAGGACGACCAGCCACACUGGAACUGAGACACGGUCCAGACUCCUACGGGAGGCAGCAUGGGGAAUUUUGGACAAUGGACGCAAGUCUGAUCCAGCCAUUCCGCGUGCAGGAUGAAGGCCCUCGGGUUGUAAACUGCUUUUGUACGGAACGAAAAGGUUUCUAUUAAUACUAGGAGCUCAUGACGGUACCGUAAGAAUAAGCACCGGCUAACUACGUG